This 253-nucleotide ribosomal RNA is filed under the name uncultured bacterium. Its description in RNAcentral is "partial 16S ribosomal RNA". It matches the Rfam family "Bacterial small subunit ribosomal RNA", at positions 524 to 776 of the family's 1533-position model. The record is from RNAcentral.
UACGGAGGGUGCGAGCGUUGUCCGGAAUCAUUGGGCGUAAAGAGCGUGUAGGCGGCUCGGUAAGUCCGCUGUGAAAGUCCAGGGCUCAACCCUGGAAUGCCGGUGGAAACUGUCGAGCUAGAGUCCGGAAGAGGCGAGUGGAAUUCCUGGUGUAGCGGUGAAAUGCGCAGAUAUCAGGAGGAACACCAAUGGCGAAGGCAGCUCGCUGGGACGGUACUGACGCUGAGACGCGAAAGCGUGGGGAGCAAACAGG